UAAUAAUAAUAAAUAAAUAAAUCUUUGGAAGUUUGGGAUCUACAAAAUAAAUUCAAACUAUGCAUAUCAACUGUAUCACUGUAUCACUGUUCAGCUGGAAUCGCACUCACAAAUACCUCUUCUUCCUGCUUCAUUUUCUUCCAACAUCAAAAUAUGGCUUAAAUUCUCUUCCCUUUUCCCUUCAGCGAGAAAUCUGACACUCAUCACCCAAAAAUUACAUCGCCCCUCUCCUUGCCUUGCCGUUUUCCUCAUCUCUCGGUGGUUCGUUCUCUCCAUUGGAUUCCAUUUGGGAACAAGAAACACCUGUUGCAUGUCCCGAUUCAUUACCGUUUUGACGAGGAUUUUCGAAAUUUACCUCAAUUGUAUUCUCUCUCUUUCUGCACUUUGGAAAGAUUGACUCAUACUCUUUAGGCUUGAAAUAGAUUCUGUAAAUCAGUGUUGCUGGAGGAGUUGUUCCGCAGCCUCAGGAAGAACAUAGCAAUGUGUUUGAAAUAAGGUUGACUCAUAAUCUUUAGGCAUCAAACAGAUUCUGUAAAUCAGUGUUGGUGGAGGAGUUGUUCCGCAGCCGCAGUAAGAACAGAGCAACGUGUUUGAAAUAAGGUAUGACAAAAAAAUUUCUAUAAAAUUUUGCAAUUUUUGAGUUUGAAGCCAUUCAAAUUGGUUUGUUCAGUAGGAAUAAAAAUAGCAAUUAAUCAAAUUGUUUGGGUCCUAUUUGUAUGGCUAACGUCUCAUUGGCCGUCGGCCUCUUGAACACUAAGAAAUAUGUCCACUGGUCAUUUACUUUGAUAGCAAAGUGAAUUGAGUUAAAGCUUGCAGCUUCUGGGACCUGAAAAAGGACUAAAAAAGAAUUAGACUGUAUAAUGUGUAUUUGCUUGGUAGUACUCUAUGGUGCAAUGAAUACUGAGAUGAAUAAUUAAAAUGAAGGGUAAACAUAGGCGUACAACUUGAGUAGACAAAGAAUAUGAGUCAUCAUCAACAGUUGAAUAGGAACUUUAUUGCAAGCGUUUUUGCAUUCGGUGUUGGUUUUCAAAUGUGACUUAUGUGUUUUGCUUCAUUUUAGUUUACUUAUUGUUAAGUAUUUAAUAAUUGACAACUUUUUUUUUAUUAUUUUUUUUUUUAGAUUUCUCAGUGAAUUAUCUAUUGCUUGGAGUUUGAAUUUUUUUAUGCCAUGUUAAGAGGGUGUAGAACUAGCAAACGCAAUCAAAUAAUACAAGAAUGCCAUAUUGUUGGUUCUUCCGGUGGCAUACAAGUUUGUGAUAAACCAAGCUUUGAACAUCAGGACAAAAGACAAAAAAUUGUUGACAAACAGUAUAAACACAGUCCAAACAAGUGCCAAUGUCGUUACAUUUGAUAAUUCAAAUCAAAUUAGUAAAGGUCAAGCCAAUUUUCAAAAAAACAAACAAGGUAAUUGUCUCUAUUGAACUUACAAUUUAUUUUGAGUCGAUUAUGCAUUUAUUACUCUGUCACUAAUAAGUUGCAUUUUUGUCUUCUUUUUCUUCCUUUCCCACAUGUAUUUUUAUUAAAUAGGCAAUAUUGUGGAAUAUGUGGAUAUGGGAGACAAGAACUACAUGUGCAUUUAUUGCGGUGUACUGUUUUUUUGGCUAAAAGAGUCUCUUAAGAAAAAAUCUCAGAAUUGAAGAGGCUGUUAGUAUGUCAUCCUCAACUUCUUGCAUGUAAUAUAUGAAUGUAAAUAGAACUCUGGCUAUGGCAUACGACCAUCCCAAUUUUUGUCAUGUAAUAUAAGAAUGUAAUAUAUGUAUACAACCCUACUCUUUGGCACAUAUUUUCUCAUGUAUAUAAGCUCUACUUUUUACA
Malus domestica (apple) is the source of this 1815-nucleotide long non-coding RNA. RefSeq lists it as uncharacterized. The record is from RefSeq and is a predicted model, not a curated record. NCBI's taxonomy places the organism in Eukaryota, Viridiplantae, Streptophyta, Magnoliopsida, Rosales, Rosaceae.